GUCCCUAGAAGAACAGCGUGGGAAAAAAUUUACCAGUAUAGUAACAAAAUGCCUUGAAAAGGGAGGCAAUAAGAGUAUCAGUAAUCCUCAGGAACUAGAUUCAGAAGUAGAGAAGUUGGAAAAAAUCUUAACCACAACUUUCAAUAAGUCCACUUCGCUAAGAAAGUCUCUUCCUUGGUGGAACAGUGAACUCAAGAAUUUGAGAACACACACAUCCAUUUAAAGAUAUUAUGAAAAGAUACAAAAAAGCAAUCAGGAAAGCUAAAAACGACUCAUGGCGAUCUUUCUGCACAUCAAUAGAAAUUCGCAGAGAGCUUGGCUGAGCAAAAUGCUAUCCAAAGAUCAUAUUAAUACUGCCUACAUUAGGACGGAGGGAAAUGAUUGGACCUCCUCGGCAAAAGAGUCUCUGGAGGUACUAAUUAUUUACAACGCACUUCCCCGGGAGUAAGCAAACACCUUCAACGAGGGUUCAACCAGAACCACCGUUAAACACAGCUGAUUAUAUUGCCAAAUAGUAGACAAAAGCAAAAUCAAACAUGCCAUAAAUAAUUUUGCACCAUUUAAAUCGGCAGGUCCUGACGGGAUAUGCCCAUAAUGCUGCAAAAACUGGUAGAACCAAUAGUUCAAAGGCUUGAAAAUAUAUACAAAGCUAGCAUUCAACUAUCUUACAUCCCAAGAAGUUGAAAAAGAAGUAAAGUUGUGUUCUUUCCAAAACUAGGCAGAAGAACACACGAGAAUGCCAAAGAUUUUAGACCUAUAAGCCUUAUCUCCUUUAUGCUGAAGGUACUAGAAAGGCCAAUAGAUUUACAUGUAAGAACAAUAAUGACUCAUAAUUUAUCGAAGUCCCAACAAAAAAAAGGGCCGAUCAACCAAAACUUCCCUACACGAGGUGAUAAGUGUAAUUGAAAAAUCACUACACACAAACAAUACACCAUGGCUGUUUUUCUAGACAUAGAGGGCGCCUUCAAUAACAUAGAAGUAUAUGCUAUAAUUAAUUUUCUGACACAUGGUGGCAUAGAUGACACUGUGUGCAGAUGGAUACUAUCUAUGCUUGAGAAUAGAAGGAUUAUAGCUUCAAACGGCGCUGCAACACAAACAAGUUAUGUGAGUAGAGGGACGCCUCAAGAGGGGUCCUCUCUCCGCUUCUAUGGGUUGUAGCCCUGAACAGAAUACUACACCAACUAAACGGUGGAGGAGUGAAAGCAGUAGCAUAUGCAGCCGAUAUAGUGUUGUUGGUAUCAGGCAUGUUUCCUUCAACAGUCAGCGAGUUUAUGGAAAGAGCACUUCGAAACCUAAGACUAAGAACAAUGAAUUAGAAGUUAACCCGAACAAAACGGAACUGAUGCUAUUCACAAGCAGAACCAUAAUCCCUCAGUUUCAACUUCCGGUACUAAACGGUACAACACUCACUCUGUCCCACACAGCUAAAUACUUGGGGGUGGAGAUUGACACCAAACUGUCCUGGAAAAUAAAUAUAGAAAAAAGAAUAAAUAAAGCAUACAUGGCCUACUAUACUUGUAAAAAAAUCGUCAACAAGAAUUGGGGCCUCAAACCAAGUGUAAUCAUGAGGAUGUAUACGGCUGUCAUAAGACCUAUACUUACGUAUGGAGUUCUGGUAUGGUGGCCAGCGCUAAACAAACGAUACAACAUUAAAAAAUUAAAUGGAAUACAAAGAGCAGCAUGUUCAGGUCAUGUCCGACUGAUGCGCUCAAUGUGGUAAUGAACUACCCACGGACACUUUUAUUUACAAAACAGCAGCUUUUGCGGCGAUAAGAAUAAAAGAAUUGGGUGGUUGGAAUCAGCAAAACUACGGACAUAAUGUAAUCCUAAACAAGCUACCCAUUAAUAAAUCAAACUACAUUCUCCCAAAGCUGGAUUUCAAUAGAAACUUCCAGGUGAGGAUACCAUCUAGACGAGAAUGGAGAAGAGGUUAAAUAAGAGAGGAGGAUACCAUCUCAGUCUAUACCGACGGGUCCAAAAUGGACUGCGGAAUAGGCACGGGGGUAUUCUCCGCUGAUCUAGGCAUAUCUUCCUCUAUACGUCCACGGACUCAGCUAGUAUCUCCCAAGCAGAAGUACUAGGCAAAGAAAAAGCCUGCGAAGUUCUAUUAGAAAACCACGAGAAGAUACAUAAAGCAACUGUAUUAACAGAUAGCCAGGCGGCGCUCCUGGCCUUAUCCUCACCCAUGACAAAUUCCAGCAUAGUUCACAACUGCAAGAAAGCACUAAGCUCAAUAAAAGACAAGCUCCAACUAGACUUGAUCUGGGUUCCCGGCCACAGGAACAUUUUCGGUAACGAAAAUGCAGACGAGUUGGCAAAGGCAGGAGCUCUCCACAACGAAUCCGAGGCGAAGCUAAUACCAAGCCAAAACUUUACAAAAUGCAUCAUAACUACCACAACAGGGCACAAGCCAUUUGGGCAAAAUGCGUCCAAAAUGGGUAUGCCCUAAAACGACAUCUGCCGAGGCUGCGGAGUAGCAGGGAACAAGGAAACAAAUUUCCACUUUCUCUGCGAAUGCCCCGCUCUAGGACAGAUCCGACACAAAACACUUGGAAUCCAUCAAGCACAAAACCUUGAAGGGAUUUCUACCAAAAGUAUAUCAGACAUAGGUAGUUUCAUCGAAACCUCAAAAUGAUUUGAGAGAGAAAGUGAAACGUAAUAGCAGAUACAGGAGGUUCUACGAAUAGUGUAUCAAAAUGGCACAUCAAGUGCUAAUUGAGCCCGAUAGAUAAUAGGGCUGCACUGCUACCUACCUACCUAGAAAUAUUACACGAAAUAUUACUUGUCAUAUUGAACGGUGUUGCAGUCAAAAAUCAGGAACUACCAAUAACUUUUGAAAGAUUAUUUACGGUGAGUUCAUACUCAUAAUGUAAUCAAGCUCUUAAAAAUUUACAAAUUAAAUAAAGAAUCAAAACAGGUUUCCUAUGUAAAUCAACUAGUUUUUAUUAUUAAUGUUUUUGGAGUCGUUUUUGCCUUCAGUGGGACAUGGAACUGAAGGAAUGCUUCUUUGCUAUUUCUUCAAAACUUGAAAGGCAAUGUCGCUUUUUCGUGUUGCUCCAGAAAAUCAAUAUCAUUUGCGAACUACACACAAAGCUAACAAAAAAUGAUUUGAAUCGGAAAAGUUAAUUUUAAUGCUAGUCAGCUAAAUGUACUGUUUGUUUGUAAAAGUUUAAAAGAAUUACGACGUUAUCAAUAGUAAUUUUGCGAAUUUAAAGUCUCGCCAAAAGGUUUUGUAAUGGUUUUAUAAUUUAAGCUGUACUACUAACAACUAUAACAAACAGCUAUAAUAAACACAUAUUUAUCAUCGUAUGAAAAGAACGUUUAAAAAAAUAUUUACGGUUUGGUUUCAUCAAAACUGUAUAAACUAAUGAGUUAUUUCUCGAAAAGAAAAAAAGCUAAUUUUGGUAACAUAAUUUAAUACUUCUACAGUUGUUGAAAACUUUUCCGUACUUUGUUUUUAUUGUUUUUGCAGCGAAGGGCUAUCCAUAUCGAUGUACCCCAUUUUUUUACAGAAGGAAAACAGAAACUUCUCUCUAUGGCAUUUAUUUUUUGAAGAUUAUCUCUUUUAAAUGUUGGUAACUACAUCUUAGAUAGUCCAUCCGUUGAAUACAAUUUUCGAUGAUUCCUUUGAGCAUUUCCACUGUUGACUGGCAAACGACACGAGUGAUGGUUUGCUUCAAGGUCUGAAACGAAGCGGGAUUGUGCGCAUAUUUGUAAACCUUAGCUUUUACAUAUCCCCACAGCAAAAAGUCUAACAGUCUGAUAUCACACGACCUUGUGAGCAAUAAAUCCAUUCAUUAAUGCGAUGUGUACAAAGUGGGGCCAUGUUGUUGAAACAAAUGUCGCCGAGAUAAAUAGCCUAAAUUUCAGGCAUCAAAUAGUAGGUUAUCGUGGCUCGUUAACGGUCAUCAUUUUUGAACAAAUAUAGACCAAUCCACCGGUCGACCCACACCAAACCAUUGCUUUUUAGAUGAAAUGGCGGCUAUUGAAACCGUCCAGGUUGUUCUUCAUCGCAAAUAUGCCAAUUUUGCUUGUUUACAUACCCAUUGAGCAAGAAAUGGUUUUUGCACAUGCUGUAUUUUCUAUGCUUUCGUUUUAAGAUUUAGACGUACAAUGCACUAAGUCGUUCCAUAGGUCAGUCCGAGUUGCUGCGAACGGCGCCAAAUCGGAUUGGUGUAGCGACUAGUAUGCCCAGUAAGCCGAUUAUUCUGACCAAAAGUUGAGUGCAGCUCACGAAUUUUCGUAAUAAAGAGGAAGUCUCUCCAAGAUGAAAUGCCAAACAAUACUAAACAUUAAUAAUAUAACAGCUUGACACGACUAACGCGUAAGAUAUCAAAAAAAUGCUAUUGAAAAAAGUACCUCCUCUUGGAUCACCCGUUAAAGACCAUUUCUGGGGAGAGGGAAAGCUCAAUAAUAACUGCCCCUUAAUGGUAGCUAUAGAAGACGAGCUGUUUGAACGGUGCGGACCAUAGGGAAAACGAUGUUGGAUGAGUGUUUUUGGUGGGACAUGCAAAGAGCCAGCAUCACACGGAAUAUAUGCGAUAGAUGUAUAUAUAGUAUGUCAGGGACAGUUCUGGAAAGGUAGUAGUUAAAUCUAAAAUAAUAAGGUAAAUAGAAACGGGCCCCAAAAAUUUUGGCGACAUCCAAAUUAAGAAAAAUGGACCAGGGAUGGUAAAGCGAUUACAUAACCUCUGUUAAUCAAAUGUCAACCUCAACUCCGCGUCUUACCCCCUGUUUGUCAGCGAACAAGGUUUUUUUAAUAGCAGGCCUGGGGGCUGCAGUCGGCAUCUCGACAACAGAAUCGGGUUGGCACGCUGAUAACCUGUUAAUUUCAAAAUCACUUUAACAAGUCUCAAUAAAGAAGGUUCGAAUUAAACAAACGCCCAUCAAGCUAACGACCUGCAUUGAAAAUAUGACAAGAUUCCGAACAUGGAAUAUAGUAGUAUAACCUAGGGUGGGUCGAUUCCGGACUUUUUUCGAUUCGGGAUUUCUAAUAGUGCGGAAAAGUUGCCUUAGUACUUCCUGAUUCCAAUGCAACUUUUUGUUUGGAGAUCGGAUUGCAUCUUCAACCCCAACUCUGGCCUUGAAAUUUCGGAAAUUCGCCUAAAAUCGUGAAAUUGUCUACCUAGCGCCUGAAAUACGCAUCUCAUGGCAAAAUGUAUAAAACAAAAGUUAUUUGUCAUGUCAUUUGCUACCGAAAUGGUAUAUGUGAUCAUGGCCGUAGGACGAACCGUUCCCGAUAUACGAGCGAAAAGGCGGCGCCCCACAGCGCAAGGUGAAAAUUGGUGCAGCUCUCAGCUAACCUGUAUUGAUCACCCAGAACCCACCGCGUGGAGGUGGCUGCUCUUCGGGUUCCUCCCAAGCCCAACCCAACCAACCAACCAUAUGUGUAUGGCUUGUUUUAAUCUGAAUCUGUGUCAAAUUUAUUGAUAAAAUCAGAUUUUGUAUUAAACUUUGGCACUUGUUGCCUAGAUUUCAGUGUAGAGCGUAUAAAACGAUCACGAGAUUGGGGGCCAAUAACUUUAGAAGAUGCCUCUGUCACCAGUUUGACGGUUCUCUCGACUGCCACGGUGUGAGAGAGGAAUUCACUAAAUUUCCAUACCUCUGCAGUGUCUCCCGACAGCCCUUUUAUGAGUUCUUCGUUAGAAACUGAACAAAGAACUGGUGAAACAGUCAAGGUAAUAGUCUUCCAGUUAAUCAUAUCGUAAUAAUUAUUAGCUUUGAAAUGCUAUUAGCUUUGGCACUUUAUUACAUCUAUCCCUUCCAUUUACAGUGUCAGACUCUGCUUCUCUGGCUGCCAGAAGACGGUCAAGGGCCAACUUUCUGACUUCUAUCCGUUCGUCAGUCAUCAUACUAAGGAGAGUGUUUUCUGGAAGACCAAAGAAAGCAUUCUGUUGAAUGGAUGAAUCGACAACCUUGCGCAGUUUAACAGGUAAGUAUCUCAACCUUUGAAUUGUAGCAUAGAGAUGGCGCGAGCCAUCUUUGAUUGAACUGUUGAAUCUUAUAGAGCACCACAAAGGUGAGUAAACUGUAAGUAUGUACUUGACCAAAAUCUUUAUUUCCUUUGUUGGUUUGUCAGUAGAAAUGUAUAAUCUCAGAAUUCUAUUUGCACAGGUGAGCCAGCGAGAUUUGCACAUGUUACCUGGAUGCAUCGACGCUAAAUCUGAGGACCAUUGACCGGAAAUAACAGCUUCUGAUAUAUUAUAGAGAUAAGCUUGGUCUGUGCUAAGUAGGGUCGGAUUAAUAACCUCAGAAGGUAAUUUGCAGGAUGGAAAACUUUCAAAUUUGACAACAGGCAACUUCUCAUAAUCAGGGAGCAGUUAACCUAAGUCGCCAGAGAAUGUAUUUGGAUUCUUUGAGACACCAUCUAUGUGUUCGAAAAGAGCACGAAAUAGAAGUUCGUUAAAAUGUAGAAGACAAACAACCCACUGUAAUGGCCUACCUAUUCUUUCUUCAAGUUUCCGAAUGAUUCCACCUUUCCAACCUGUGUUCGUGUUGGUGCCAUCAGCACCGACAACUUCUAGAUGUUCCACAUCAACUGAAUUGUCUUUUAAAUGUUGCCAUAUAGCUUGCGUCUCAUCCUCAGCUGACCCGGAAGGAGAGGUGACGUGGCCAAAGUAAUGACAACCAGGUUCCGCUAUAAGAGAAAUAUGUUCCUCUUUGACAGUAUCGCGGUAGUACUUUUCACCUUCCCUGACUUCUGUAAGUGUAUUGUCUUUGCGGCCGUCAAAAUACAGCCCAUAUACAGAGUCAAUACUUUCGGUGUUUUGGAGCUUAACUCCAACACUUUUUUGCCCGACUAAUCUUGCAUUUGUCAGUGACAUAGUUAGCCUGAUCCUCUGUUAUCAAACCUACUUUUUUUGGCAUCCAGAAAAGCAGAUGAAACAAUCAAGGCCGCUGCUCUAUCACUUACUCCAAAUCUUUGGGCAGCUAAAGCAGUGUGUUCUAAUACUAAUGUGUUUUGUUUGGUUUUAGAGGAUGGAAGAGAAAGUUCAUCAUCAGAAUCCAUGUGCGACGCACCUACAUUGUUGUCGUCUGUAUGAGAGUCUGGCUGAUCUGAAUGGUCACGAGUUCUAGCUGAUACUUUUCUGGUAGAUCAACACUUCCAAUGCGACCAAUUCUUCUGGUUCUCUGGUCCAAGAGAAAUGGUUGUUCAUUGAUAGGAACUUUCCUUUCCUUUGGACAAGUGCAAGAAGAAAAAUAAAUGCAUUUACAAGCAGCGAUGUCAAAUAAUUUUCCGGCAGAAGAGACAAAGUCGUCUCUUUUAGAGCUCAAACCUAUUGGGUUCCUCAAAAACAUUUGUUUAAGAGUCAGAAAUUUCUUAUGGUAUGUGGUGAGCAUUUGUAGAACUCUGGUGUGUGAAACUAUCGGAAUAGAUGACUUUUUGAAAGUAUUUUCAACCUUUUUUGCAACUAUUUCUGUAACCUCUUUACUCCUAGGUUCAUAGUUGUCGCCUCGAAGUCGCCCUAUACGAAAUCUUUCAAACUGAUAACACAAAAGAACAUCCUGGUAAGUAGGUAACUGGGACUCAGAGAGACUGUACGGAUAUAUGCCAAACACAGGACAUUUCUGUCUAAAUUUAAAUUUAGAUACAGACAUUUUGAGUUCUGUUUUCUGUUGAGAGAAUAUAAGUGAUAGCACUCGGCGAAAUCAACGACAAGAGUGAAGGAACUCGAUGAAAAUAUAUUUAUGUGGAGACCAGUCCGAACGUGUCGUAUGGCGCAGGGAAAUGAAUGUAAGUGAUAGAACUCGGCGAAAUCACCGACAAGAGUGAAGGAACUCGAUGAAGAAAUAUAUAUGUGGAGACCAGUCCGAACGUGUCGUAUGGAGUAGGUGAAUGAAUGUGAGUGAUAGCACUCGGCGAAAUCAACGUCAAGAAGUGUGGCCGCAAGCCGAUUUUCACCUUGCGCUGUAGCGCGCCGCAUUUUCGCUCGUAUCUCGGGAACGGUUCGUCCUACGGCCUUGAUUACGUAUAGCAUUUCGGUUGCAAAUGACGUGACAAAUAACUUUUGUUCAGGCGCUAGGUAGACAAUUUCACGAUUUUAGGCGAAUUUCCGAAAUUUCAAGGCCGGAGUUGGGGACGCGUCGUCGCAACCGUCGAAGGGCAAGAUGGCAAGGUGCGAGUCGCAGACGUAGCGACCAAGACAAGCACAAUUAUGCGUCCUAUCCGUAAACAGGCCUUUCUUCCAAAGUAGGUGGAAGGAAUCUGAUCCUGUCACGGUGGCCGGUGUUGCGUCAAGCGACAUAUUUAUACCUAAAGCAAGAAUAAUUUAAUGAAUUGUAAAAUAUUGAAUAUUAAAUUAUUAAAAAUUAAAUGAAGAAACUCUAUUAUAUAAAAUAUUUACACUAAUAAUGCAUUAAUAAUACUAAUCUAUUACUUACUUUAAUACUUAUCUUAACAACAUAAGCUUGUACAUUGUUUAACGAAAGAUAAUUACUUACCCCUUUUGUUACACAUACUUACAUUACCACUAGAUUAAGCCUUAUGUUUAAGAUUUAGGCUAAGCGAUUCCUUAAAACGGAAUAAGAAUUGAACUGAAUAUGAAUUGAACUGUGAAACCA
Long non-coding RNA from Bactrocera dorsalis (oriental fruit fly), 8562 nucleotides. RefSeq lists it as uncharacterized. Lineage: Eukaryota; Metazoa; Arthropoda; Insecta; Diptera; Tephritidae. The record is from RefSeq and is a predicted model, not a curated record. The transcript has 2 exons.